Molecule: ribosomal RNA, 429 nt
Filed under: Chloroflexota bacterium
Lineage: Bacteria; Bacillati; Chloroflexota
Description: Chloroflexi bacterium partial 16S ribosomal RNA
Rfam family: Bacterial small subunit ribosomal RNA
Source: RNAcentral
UGGGGAAUAUUGCACAAUGGGCGCAAGCCUGAUGCAGCCAUGCCGCGUGUGUGAAGAAGGCCUUCGGGUUGUAAAGUACUUUCAGCGGGGAGGAAGGGAGUAAAGUUAAUACCUUUGCUCAUUGACGUUACCCGCAGAAGAAGCACCGGCUAACUCCGUGCCAGCAGCCGCGGUAAUACGGAGGGUGCAAGCGUUAAUCGGAAUUACUGGGCGUAAAGCGCACGCAGGCGGUUUGUUAAGUCAGAUGUGAAAUCCUCGGGCUCAACCUGGGAACUGCAUCUGAUACUGGCAAGCUUGAGUCUCGUAGAGGGGGGUAGAAUUCCAGGUGUAGCGGUGAAAUGCGUAGAGAUCUGGAGGAAUACCGGUGGCGAAGGCGGCCCCCUGGACGAAGACUGACGCUCAGGUGCGAAAGCGUGGGGAGCAAACAGG